ACAGGAUCAUCCUAGAGCUGAAUACGAAGCCAGAGUCUUGGAGAAGUCUCUGAAGAAAGAGUCCAGAAACAAAGAGAAGCGCCGGCAUAUUCCAGAGGAGUCAACCAACAAAUGGAAGCAGAGGGUUAAGACAGCCAUGGCGGGGGUGAAAUUGACUGACAAAGUGAAGCUGACAUGGAGAGAUCGGUUCCCAGCCUACCUCACUAACUUGGUCUCCAUCAUCUU
This 225-nucleotide long non-coding RNA is filed under the name Pan troglodytes (chimpanzee). RNAcentral's name for it is "long non-coding RNA NONPTRT002735". The record is from RNAcentral. Lineage: Eukaryota; Metazoa; Chordata; Mammalia; Primates; Hominidae.